This 370-nucleotide ribosomal RNA is filed under the name uncultured organism. Its description in RNAcentral is "bacterial SSU rRNA". It matches the Rfam family "Bacterial small subunit ribosomal RNA", at positions 526 to 896 of the family's 1533-position model. The record is from RNAcentral.
CAGAGGGUGCGAGCGUUAAUCGGAUUUACUGGGCGUAAAGGGCGCGUAGGCGGUUAUACAAGUGUGAUGUGAAAGCCCUGGGCUUAACCUAGGAAGUGCAUCGCAUACUGUAUAACUGGAGUUUGGGAGAGGGUGAUGGAAUUUCCGGUGUAGCGGUGAAAUGCGUAGAGAUCGGAAGGAACGUCAAUGGCGAAGGCAAUCACCUGGCCCAAAACUGACGCUGAGGCGCGAAAGCGUGGGGAGCGAACAGGAUUAGAUACCCUGGUAGUCCACGCUGUAAACGAUGAGGACUAGAUGUUGGAGAGAGCACUCUUUAGUAUCAAAGCUAACGCGAUAAGUCUUCCGCCUGGGAAGUACGGCCGCAAGGUUG